RNAcentral lists this ribosomal RNA (752 nucleotides) under uncultured Actinomyces sp. RNAcentral describes it as "bacterial SSU rRNA". It matches the Rfam family "Bacterial small subunit ribosomal RNA", at positions 28 to 776 of the family's 1533-position model. The record is from RNAcentral. Lineage: Bacteria; Bacillati; Actinomycetota; Actinomycetes; Actinomycetales; Actinomycetaceae.
GACGAACGCUGGCGGCGUGCUUAACACAUGCAAGUCGAACGCUGAAGGCCCAGCUUGCUGGGUUGGAUGAGUGGCGAACGGGUGAGUAACACGUGAGUAACCUGCCCCCUUCUUUGGGAUAACGGUCGGAAACGGCUGCUAAUACCGGGUAUUCACUGUCCUUCGCAUGGGGGGUGGUGGAAAGGUUUUUUCUGGUGGGGGAUGGGCUCGCGGCCUAUCAGCUUGUUGGUGGGGUGAUGGCUUACCAAGGCUUUGACGGGUAACCGGCCUGAGAGGGUGACCGGUCACAUUGGGACUGAGAUACGGCCCAGACUCCUACGGGAGGCAGCAGUGGGGAACAUUGCACAAUGGGCGAAAGCCUGAUGCAGCGACGCCGCGUGAGGGAUGACGGCCUUCGGGUUGUAAACCUCUUUCGCUCAUGGUCAAGCCGCAACUGUGGUUGUGGUGAGGGUAGUGGGUAAAGAAGCACCGGCUAACUACGUGCCAGCAGCCGCGGUAAUACGUAGGGUGCGAGCGUUGUCCGGAAUUAUUGGGCGUAAAGGGCUUGUAGGCGGUUUGUCGCGUCUGCCGUGAAAUCCUCUGGCUUAACUGGGGGCGUGCGGUGGGUACGGGCAGGCUUGAGUGCGGUAGGGGAGACUGGAACUCCUGGUGUAGUGGUGGAAUGCGCAGAUAUCAGGAAGAACACCGGUGGCGAAGGCGGGUCUCUGGGCCGUUACUGACGCUGAGGAGCGAAAGCGUGGGGAGCGAACAGG